GUUCCGACUCGUGCAAACUAUCAUAUGAUAGGUCUGAGCCUGCUGCGGAACACACACUCACACUUGGAAGGACAAUUUAAGCAAGAGAUAUAUGUCACCUUUACUGUAAUGUGCGUGAAACAACACAGAUAUACCGAAAACCGGAGAUUCUAAUAACUGUUGAGCGGAUCAGAGUUUUUUGCUUUGACGUUUUUUUCAUCUCAGAUUUGUCCGGAGAAAAACACAAAGGUGUAUUUGCAAGUGAGUGUAGAGACGCAUAUAGUAAGAGUCGGAAUAAACAACCGUUUGAUAGCUUUUUUUGUUUGUUGUCUAGCUCUGUCCUUGAACAGUUUCCGCAUGACUGCGGGACAGUCGGUCCAGAGUGGCGGCUGAUCAAUUCAUCUCGUUAGCGGAGGCAGAGUUGUCGCGGUUGGCAUCAUUGUUGGAGUGGGGAGCACGGACUGUCAAUAGAAACCGGCAGACUUUUAUUUGAUUUACUUUGACUUUAUUAUAACUGUUUACAUAUAAAUACCACUUUUAAAGAAAUUGGUUUACAUUCAAAGCCCAAGAAGUUGACUUUACUUUAGUGAACACUGUUUGCCAUGGUGGGUGAGACGGAGUUAAGGGACCGACCCAAGGCCAGCCCGGACUACCUCAUGCAGCUCAUGAACGACAGGAAGGUGAUGAGCUCGCUGCCCAACUUCACUGGUAUCUUCACACAUCUGGAGCGCCUACUGGAUGAAGAGAUCGGAAGAGUGCGCAAGGACAUGUACAAUGACACCAUGAAUGGGGGUGUCAGUGAGGGGCGGGACUCUGAAGAGCUGCCUGAUGCUAUUGGUCCAGUUGCUCAGCUGCAAGAGAAACUCUAUGUGCCUGUCAAGGAGUACCCUGAUUUUAACUUUGUGGGGAGAAUCCUGGGUCCAAGGGGACUGACAGCCAAACAGCUGGAGGCAGAGACAGGCUGCAAGAUUAUGGUGCGAGGAAAAGGCUCCAUGAGGGACAAGAAGAAGGAGGAAUUGAACAGAGGAAAGCCCAACUGGGAGCAUCUAAGUGAAGACCUUCAUGUGUUAAUUACUGUUGAGGACACCCACAACCGAGCCCAGAUCAAACUGCAGCGAGCCACAGCGGAGGUCAACAAACUGCUCAUCCCUGCUGCUGAGGGAGAGGACAGUCUGAAAAAAAUGCAGUUGAUGGAGCUGGCCAUUCUCAAUGGAACCUACAGAGAUGCUAACAUCAAGACUGCUACUAUGGGCUUCUCUCUAGCCUCCCAUCAGGCCCCUCGCAUCAUCACUGGCCCAUCCCCCAUGCUGCCUUCCACUCUGAGAAACCACACCCCCCUCAGCACGCCCACCAUCAUGCCACAUCUGAUUCGUCAGAUCCAGAGCUCAGCUUUAAUGCAGGGAGCCAAUCCCCACGCAGCACUGAUGCAGCAAGCUCAAGAAUCAGGAAUUAUAUACGCACCCUAUGAGUACCCCUACACACUCACCCCGUCAAUACUGGAAUACCCCAUUGACUCUACUGGAGUACUAGGUAUGGCUUACCCAACCAAGGGCUAAGAUGCUACACACCUCCUGCACGAGAUGGCUUUCAGAUACACCCCCCUAAAUAAACCAUCACAAAGUCAUUUUAGGGUUCAUAUUUAAAAUGAUCUCAUUCUGGAAAAAAUAAGUUGGAAUAUAAAAUGCAUGUGCAUUAUUCCGUCUCAUAAAUGUGCAUCUACUUUUAAGGUUACUGUUAAUUUUCUUAGAAAGGUAGCUUGAAAAUACCAGAUUUUGACACGAGAGGUUUACUAUGUGUAUGUCACCAUUUUUACUAACUUUUUGUGUUUUGUUUUGGUCAUUGUAAUUGCACUAUGAGCAGGUGCGAUGACUGCUAAGGUACGACGCCACGACAUGAGACUCCAUCCUUACCAAAGGGUAGUGACCCCAGACAGAGCUGCCACAGCAACUAAUCCAUGACCUCUGACCUUCUGACCUUUCCGCCCACUGAUGACCCAUCCACCUCACUUGGCUCUCGGCUGCACCCGUGCCCCAGCCCAAUCCACCAGAGACCAUCACUGCGUGAACAACCUCUGUCUCUGCCUAACCAGCCAACCAGGGGACAUGAUAGGAAUCCCUUCAGAGGACUCACCCAUGGCCAAACCUCCUAACCAGGUGUCCCCGCCCACCCCAAGGCCAAAGUACUUCUACUUAGUUAGUAUCCCCUAACUCCUGCCAUGGUAUGAGUCCAAGUGAUGCAUUUAUAAAGAUAAUAAUGAAUCAAACACUGAGAGGAAACUAUCCACGCACACGCUUAGGAACAACACCCCAGUCCUCUCACAGUGCAGUAAAUGAGGAGACAUGUUCUUUCGUCAUCAUGUUGCCUUUGUAUCACCAUAGCGUUUUAUAAAUCUGAUGAACAAAAAUGCCUUUAAUUAGACAAUAUGAGAAAGAUGUUACAAAUCAGGACAACAUUCCUGGCAUUGUAUUCCUAAUCAAGUAUUCCUAAUACUUGAUUGAAGUGUCUCAAUCAAGUAUUUAAGAUAAAUCAGGCCUAGCUUGUCUAAAGAGUAUUCCCAUUAUCCUGUGUGUCAUAUAUAAAUAUUAUUUAUAAAAGCAUCUUGGAGCACAAUUGUACUGAACCUGUAUGGCCCUAACUAUGCAUUGCUAUUGGUAGGUUCCUUUUUGGCUACCAUGUCGGUGGUAGUCUUCUACCAAUACGACAGGGCCAUCAUAUCAGUGUUAAAAUUUGUGUUUGUUACUUUGUUACUUUUGUUUUUUUGGAAGAGUGGAAGGUAGAUUUGUGUUUACUUGUGAGUGUGCAUUGGCUUUCACGUGAACUGUGUCUGUUUCAUUUUUCCUCGGAUCAAUUUGUAUUCCACUCAGUGCCUUGUCCUUCAACCAGUGCCUUCAAGAGAAUACAAUAAUAUAUUCAUUUUUAACAUCUGUAACAAGGUUAUAAUAUAUUUUUCUAUUAUAUUUUGUAAGUGAAAAAUAACAUUAAAUGACAAUGUCAGAUAAGAACAGUA
Molecule: RNA transcript, 2986 nt
Organism: Osmerus eperlanus (European smelt)
Lineage: Eukaryota; Metazoa; Chordata; Actinopteri; Osmeriformes; Osmeridae
Gene: qki2
Gene name: QKI, KH domain containing, RNA binding 2
Exons: 8
Source: RefSeq, a predicted model, not a curated record